RNAcentral lists this transfer RNA (74 nucleotides) under Pseudonocardia sp. Its description in RNAcentral is "tRNA-Leu". It matches the Rfam family "tRNA". Rfam says of the family: Transfer RNA (tRNA) molecules are approximately 80 nucleotides in length. Their secondary structure includes four short double-helical elements and three loops (D, anti-codon, and T loops). Further hydrogen bonds mediate the characteristic L-shaped molecular structure. tRNAs have two regions of fundamental functional importance: the anti-codon, which is responsible for specific mRNA codon recognition, and the 3' end, to which the tRNAs corresponding amino acid is attached (by aminoacyl-tRNA synthetases). tRNAs cope with the degeneracy of the genetic code in two manners: having more than one tRNA (with a specific anti-codon) for a particular amino acid; and 'wobble' base-pairing, i.e. permitting non-standard base-pairing at the 3rd anti-codon position. The record is from RNAcentral. RNAcentral also lists the same sequence under 2 other names. Lineage: Bacteria; Bacillati; Actinomycetota; Actinomycetes; Pseudonocardiales; Pseudonocardiaceae.
GCCCCCGUAGCCCAACUGGCAGAGGCAGGCGACUUAAAAUCGCCACAGUGUGGGUUCGAAACCCACCGGGGGCA